Clupea harengus (Atlantic herring) is the source of this 2148-nucleotide long non-coding RNA. The record is from Ensembl. NCBI's taxonomy places the organism in Eukaryota, Metazoa, Chordata, Actinopteri, Clupeiformes, Clupeidae.
UGUGUGUGUGUGUGUGCGUGUGCGCGUUUGUGUAUGCAUUUGUAUGGUGUUGAAUUCUCACCGUACUAUAGGGUUUCUGUAAACAUUCACAAGGUAGAUUAUUAGAUUAUUGCUGAUGUUUGUGUUGUCAGCAUAUAUGAGGUGUUUGGAAUGUUUACAGGAGCUGAAACCUGUUCAAUUUGAGAGGGGAUUGGAAAGAAUGCUUGUGUGAUGUUCAUGAUCUAUAUAUGAGUGCCAAGCCAUGACUGUCGUGAGUUAGUGAUUAAGAAAGAGAAACGACAAACACCGUAACACGGGCCUUAUGAUUUCAUACAGCGUGAAGCGUGUAGAGAUUAUUAUAAACAAAGUCUAGCUGACUCAACAACAAUAUUUACCUUAACAAACCAAACCUUGUGUAAUAAUUCAGCACAGUAUAUUUGAGCAGUAGAUUAUUAGUAAUGUUGUACCAGUCUGACUUGACUGUCCCAGGUGCACGUGUCCUGAUGGAACAAUCCCAUAAUGACUGACUUCUCUUUUUAUUGGUGGUGUUGUUUUUGCCCCCAUCACUCUUAUGAGUGUGCUAAAUUGAUUUCUCACCAAUAAGCAACAGUGGCCUUGAUGUUGGCCUCUCUGCUGGCUUAUUGGAGUAAAGAAGUAAGAGACAAAAAAUUAUCCCAUAGACUCCUUACGGUCUCUAAAAUGUAUAGCACUUAUUUGGAAUAGCAGAAAAUCCUCUUUUUACGUACCCCCAUCAGAAAGAUUUCCAUUCUUUUCGCAUCCUGAUUAAUUAUAGCCUUCCUAUCCACCCUAAACAACAAAUAUUGUCCUUAUCAGAAAUAAAAUAAGCUAAGCAGCGAUUUUUCCCUAAAACACUACCUUGCUGUAGCUCUACCUCCCUCCCUCCCUCCCUUUUCCUUGCACCGUAUUGGUGAGUCAAGGGAAGAUGCCUCCCAUAGUAAUUGUGGGCCAUUAUAAUCCCUCCCAUAGUAAUUGUGUGCCAUUACAAUUCCUCCCAUAGUAGUUGUUUGCCAUUAUAAUCCCUCCAAGCAGCAGGUGUUUGAUCCGUCACCAUUUCAGACGAGUCACGGGGCGCAGAAAGAGUUACCCUCAGAAACAGACUCACUAGUUGAGCUAGUGGUACUUUCUCAGGUUAGUCAAUGCAGCAUAUAAGGGUGUGUUAAAUGGAGCUUCAUUUGUGUCUUUGGAAAAAAAAAAACAAGAGAAGGAGAGCGAGAGUGAGAAAUGGCGCCACCUUGUGUUUGCAUAAAUGAAUGCUUGAGUCAUCACCACCCACUAAGUCUAGUCACUAGCAUUGGUGAUAUUUGUGUGGUCACGAUUCGUUUUUCUCUUGUUCAUUUGGACAUUGGGUUUACUCGCUGCUCUAUCCCGCCUCUCACCGAUCCUAUCGUUGACUACUUUGACGAUACCAAUCAGUCGGUGAACCUGUAAACGUGCACAUUGCAUUCUCAAAGCAGCCACUUCUAUACUCUCUCAUCCUUUUUUUCUGUAUCACAAGAUGUCCCUUAACUUGUGAAAUGGUCACAUACACAACACAUUUCCCCUGGUUAGGUGAUGUCAAGGAAAUUAUUGCAGUUAUUUGUAUCCAAAGAGAUGUAAAGAAAGAUGGAGAACAAGCUUAAAAAAAAUCCCUAUCAAAUUGUUUGUUUUAUGUUAUUUUUUUUUAAUAUAUUCUGAUGGAAUGCCCAUACAGAAGAGAUGGUGAAUCAUGUUUAAAUGUUCUGUAGUUCUGAUGUAUGCAGUAGAAGUUCUGAAUGUCUAUCAGUGUUCACUAUCUUGCUAUCAUUUAAUCUUCGUAUGUGUGAUGUUCUUUGCAGAACACUUGUGUUUGGCUCAUGAAAUCAAUCUGGUCAGUGCACAUUUAAAAAAACAAAUAAAUAAAAACAAACUUUUAAAGUAGCACCGUAAUUAGGUAUCUUUUUUUCAGUUCUUGCCUACCUUGUGAUUCAAAAGUGACAACAAUAAUUAAAGAACAGGGUGACGCUAUAGACGCAAACUGAAGUUUUUCUUUUUUAUUAUUAUUUUCUACUUCUUCUACACGAAUGCAAGGGUGCUGUGUAUUAUCACUGUAUAGGAGAGUGUGGUGAAUUGGGUUCAUUUCACGACCCAGGCCAUUCUUACAUUAACAAAAAAAAAAACCAUAAUGGUUCC